Daphnia pulicaria is the source of this 2851-nucleotide RNA transcript. It is a transcript of the gene named monocarboxylate transporter 12-like, with no coding region annotated. The transcript is spliced from 12 exons. The record is from RefSeq and is a predicted model, not a curated record. NCBI's taxonomy places the organism in Eukaryota, Metazoa, Arthropoda, Branchiopoda, Diplostraca, Daphniidae.
ACCAUGCAUUCAGUUGAGUUGCUCGCGGGAAACCUGAUCAGUAUUUGUGCGACAGCGAACAAACCAACAUCGUACCAUUUAAAGUAUUUUUGAUCCGGUUUGGUAUUGAAUAGCUUUUGAAAGAAAAUGAAAGCAGAGAAUACUAAAAAGUGGCCAAGGCAAACCAACAAAGAAGAGGCGACUGACGAGUAUGUAAUAGUACCGCCGGAUGGAGGAUAUGGGUGGGUCGUUACGGUGGCAAGUUUUUUGUGCAUUCUAAUUUCAGACGGCAUACUCUAUUGCUUUGGAUUGAUCAUCUCUGAGGUGGAGCGUGUUUUUGACGAACCUGUUGCGAAAACCGCUUGGAUAUUUUCCAUUUUCAACGCGAUAUCAUAUUUCUCAGGCCCCGUAGCCUCUGCAUUGAGCAACCGGUUCGGUUUUCGUGUCGUCGUCAUAACGGGCAGUUUAUUUGGUUUCGUCGGUCUCCUGACUUCUGCGUUCGCUCAAUCAGUGGAAAAUUUGUUUUUCACUCUUGGUCUUCUUUUUGGAUUUGCAAUUUGUCUGGUGUUCACCCCGAUAAUCGUCAACGUCAGCUUUUAUUUCGACAAAAAGCGUGCCCUGGCAACCGGAAUCGCCAUCUGCGGCUCUGGAGCCGGUACUUUUGUCUUUGCGCCUGUCGUUAAUUGGCUAUUAAAAACUUAUGCACUCAGAGGGACAUUCCUCAUUCUGAGUGGGAUUUAUUUGAACUGUGGAGUUUUUGGAGCAUUACUCAUACCGCUGAAACCUCAACGGUGCAACAAGGUGCGAUCAGAAACGGUUAAACUGUUAGAGAAAAAAGAUACCGAAGCGCUGAUGUUCGAGAAAUAUCUGAUAACAAAAGAAAUCAAAUUUAAUUCCAGAAAUAAUCUAAACGUUUCGGAACAAGAAAAAGUGGACAACAGAACGAGGAGGGAAUAUGUUAAUCAAAACUAUUUCUCAAACUUUUCCAAGUUGUUCAAGUUUUCGCUGUUUCGAUCUCCGACUUUAGUUGUCAUUUGCGUUUCUAGUUUCUUCCAAUCUUUCGGAUGGUUGGUUCCUUUAAUGUAUCUGGCAGCUCAUGCAGUUAACAUGGGAAUACCAAAAGAAGAGGCGUCGUUUCUUCUAUCGAUUAUUGGAAUCUGUAAUAUGAUAGGACGCAUUAUCAACGGAUGGCUUUCUGACAACCCUAAGGUUAGCGUGCUCUUUCUCAACAAUAUGGGUUUGACAGUCUCCGGUUUGUUGAUUAUGAUUUGCCCAUUUUGCAUCUCGUAUUAUCAACUUCUUUUUUUCUCCAUAGCACUCGGUUUAUUUACCUCCUGCACCGCUGUAACUCGACCGAUUUUACUUGGGGAACUUUUGGGGUUGGAAAAUGUCAACAACGCUUACGGGUUCAUGCUCGUUUUUUACGGAGUCGCAACCCUCUUCGGAAUUCCUAUGGCUGGUUUACUAUAUGACACUUUGGGAGAUUAUCAUGGAGCUUUUUACCUUGCCGGAUCUUCCAUCCUUCUAUCUGCGUUUGGGAACAAAAUACUAAAAGCAUAGUGCCAACUAAUAACUGCAAACAUUUGGUUCUACGCUAGACAAUAGCGUAUUUCUUACUCGGCAGGUGGGCCAAUCAAAACAGGUAGACCGUUAGGUUAAUUGCUUUAAUUUUGAUUGAUUACUAAUCGAAUAAGUAAACUGUGAAUUUUACAGAGGUAUACUUUCGUUUGGGUUUUUUUUUUCAAAAGAAAACCUUUUGCGUUCAAGUUGCGUAACUUUUUCUCCAGACUACCAGAUGCGUGACUCAUCUGCACACUUUUUCCUGAUUGCAAAUAUAUGUAAUGGGAAGCAACGUUUAGAAACCAUUAGUCGGCGCGUGUUAUUUGCUGUUAGGGAAAUACGAAAUCCCUCGCGUUGUUUUUGAGUAAUUAGCAAUGGAAGCAGCAAACUCGGUUUCGGAGACGAUGGGCAAGUGGUGGUCAUUGGCGGUCCCGUAACGUCACCAAAAUCUCCGUCUGUGCAACACGAAAUCGACUAUUCGACAGCACAGAUAGGAGUUGCUCUUGCCGGCCCCGUAGCCGCUGCAUUGAGCAACCGGUUCGGUUUUCGUGUCGUCGUCAUAACGGGCAGUUUAUUUGGUUUCGUCGGUCUCCUGACUUCUGCGUUCGCUCAAUCAGUGGAAAAUUUGUUUUUCACUCUUGGUCUUCUUUUUGGAUUUGCAAUUUGUUUGGUGUUCACCCCAAUAAUUGUGAACAUCAGCUUUUAUUUCGACAAAAAGCGUGCCCUGGCAACCGGAAUCGCCAUCUGCGUCUCUGUAGCCGGUACUUUUGUCUUUGCGCCUGUCGUUAAUUGGCUAUUAAAAACUUAUGCACUCAGAGGGACAUUCCUCAUUCUGAGUGGGAUUUAUUUGAACUGUGGAGUUUUUGGAGCAUUACUCAUACCGCUGAAAUCUCAAUGGUGCAACAAGGAGCGAUCAGAAACAGUUAAACUGUUAGAGCAAAUAGAUAUCGAAGCGGUAAUGAUCGAGAACCCUCCGAUUACAAAAGAAAUCGAAUUAAAUAUCAGAAAUAAUUUAAACGUUUCGGAACCAGAGAAAGUGGAAAGCAAAACAACGAGGGAAAAUCUUAUCCAAAAAUAUUUUUCAAACUUUUCCAAGUUGUUCAAAUUUUCUCUGUUUCAAUCUCCGACUUUUGUUGUCAUUUGCGUUUCUAGUUUCUUCCAAUCUUUCGGAUGGUUGGUUCCGUUCAUGUAUCUGGCAGCACAUGCGGUUAACAUGGGAAUACCAAAAGAGAAGGCGUCGUUUCUUCUAUCGAUUGUGGGAAUCUGUAAUAUGAUAGGACGCAUUAUCAACGGAUGGAUUUCAGACCAUCCU